UCUAUCCACUAGGGGUGCCGAUAUUGGCUGAGAUUAAAGUUUAUCUUUGAGACCCUUAGUACCUGAUCUGGUUCGUACCAGCGUAGGGAAGUGGAAAUGACAAAAU
Molecule: non-coding RNA, 106 nt
Filed under: Bacillus cereus
Lineage: Bacteria; Bacillati; Bacillota; Bacilli; Caryophanales; Bacillaceae
Also listed under: 1 other name
Description: TPP sequence
Rfam family: TPP riboswitch aptamer (THI element)
About the family: Vitamin B(1) in its active form thiamin pyrophosphate (TPP) is an essential coenzyme that is synthesised by coupling of pyrimidine and thiazole moieties in bacteria. The previously detected thiamin-regulatory element, thi box was extended, resulting in a new, highly conserved RNA secondary structure, the THI element, which is widely distributed in eubacteria and also occurs in some archaea.
Source: RNAcentral